Molecule: ribosomal RNA, 301 nt
Filed under: uncultured bacterium
Lineage: Bacteria
Description: partial 16S ribosomal RNA
Rfam family: Bacterial small subunit ribosomal RNA
Source: RNAcentral
CAGCCGCCGCGGGAAUACAGAGGGUGCGAGCGUUAAUCGGAUUUACUGGGCGUAAAGCGUGCGUAGGCGGCUUUUUAAGUCGUAUGUGAAAUCCCUGAGCUUAACUUAGGAAUUGCAUUCGAUACUGGGAAGCUAGAGUAUGGGAGAGGAUGGUAGAAUUCCAGGUGUAGCGGUGAAAUGCGUAGAGAUCUGGAGGAAUACCGAUGGCGAAGGCAGCCAUCUGGCCUAAUACUGACGCUGAGGUACGAAAGCAUGGGGAGCAAACAGGAUUAGAUACCCCUGUAGUCCCUGUCUCUUAUAC